AGAGUUUGAUCCUGGCUCAGGGGGAACUGGCGGCGUCCUUAACCCAUGCAGUCGAACGGGGUAGAGAGCUUCGGUUUUUUACUUAGUGGCGAACGGGUGAGUAACGCGUGAGAAACCUGCCUUUCAGUGGGGGACAACAGUUGGAAACGACUGCUAAUACCGCAUAAUGUUAUCGAGCGGCAUCGCUUGAUAACCAAAGCUUUAUGUGCUGAAAGAUGGUCUCGCGUCUGAUUAGCUAGUUGGUGAGGUAACGGCUCACCAAGGCGACGAUCAGUAGCCGGUCUGAGAGGAUGAACGGCCACAUUGGGACUGAGAUACGGCCCAGACUCCUACGGGAGGCAGCAGUGGGGAAUAUUGGGCAAUGGGGGAAACCCUGACCCAGCAACGCCGCGUGAAGGAAGAAGGCCUUCGGGUUGUAAACUUCUUUUACCAGGGACGAAGAACGUGACGGUACCUGGCAGAAAAAGCAACGGCUAACUACGUGCCAGCAGCCGCGGU
Molecule: ribosomal RNA, 498 nt
Filed under: uncultured bacterium
Lineage: Bacteria
Description: bacterial SSU rRNA
Rfam family: Bacterial small subunit ribosomal RNA
Source: RNAcentral